GACGAACGCUGGCGGCGUGCCUAAUACAUGCAAGUAGAACGCAGUUGCGAACGGGUGAGUAACGCGUAGGUAACUGCCUGGUAGCGGGGGAUAACUAUUGGAAACGAUAGCUAAUACCGCAUACUACCAGAUGGACCUGCGUUGUAUUAGCUAGUUGGUGAGGUAACGGCUCACCAAGGCAAAGAUACAUAGCCGAGCUGGGUGGGUUGACAGGCACAAUGGGACUGGAGCACGGCCCCGACUUCGUCGGUAGGCAACAGUUGGGGAAUUUCGGAAAUGGGGGGAACGCUUGACGAAGAAAGCAGGGUGGGUGGAAGAAGUUUUCGGGUCUGAAAGCUAUGUUGUUAAGGGAGCGGUACUUAACCAAAAAGGGACGGCUAACUACGUGCCAGCCGCCGCGGUAAUAC
This 407-nucleotide ribosomal RNA is filed under the name uncultured bacterium. Its description in RNAcentral is "partial 16S ribosomal RNA". It matches the Rfam family "Bacterial small subunit ribosomal RNA", at positions 28 to 526 of the family's 1533-position model. The record is from RNAcentral.